This is a non-coding RNA of Amylocystis lapponica, 87 nucleotides long. Lineage: Eukaryota; Fungi; Basidiomycota; Agaricomycetes; Polyporales; Postiaceae. The record is from the annotation of a GenBank genome assembly.
CCUUCGAUAGCUCAGUUGGAAGAGCGUGAGACUGUAAUGGUUACCACUUUCAUCUCAAGGUCACUGGUUCGAUCCCGGUUCGAAGGA